UGUAAAUGGUGUUUUAGAAGUCAGAUGAUUAAUCUCAGUUGUCUCUAAGUGUUUGUACUUGUCCUGAACUUCUUCAUCGAUGGGACUAAAAGCAGGGAAACGCUGUAAAAUAACAAACAAAAAAACAAACCUUUAGUGGUGGUCUUAUUAAAAUACAUUCAAAGAUAUAUGAAGGGAA
Micropterus dolomieu (smallmouth bass) is the source of this 178-nucleotide long non-coding RNA. RefSeq lists it as uncharacterized. The record is from RefSeq and is a predicted model, not a curated record. Lineage: Eukaryota; Metazoa; Chordata; Actinopteri; Centrarchiformes; Centrarchidae. The transcript has 2 exons.